Molecule: long non-coding RNA, 336 nt
Organism: Danio aesculapii
Lineage: Eukaryota; Metazoa; Chordata; Actinopteri; Cypriniformes; Danionidae
Exons: 3
Source: RefSeq, a predicted model, not a curated record
CCACUUCACAUUCAGGCUGUUCCACAACAGAGGAAAAAAGAAUUGUCGACUUUAUUGUAAAGUUAAAGGGGUCUGAGGAGCAUUUGGUGGGUGUACUCAACGGGAAGCCCUCUAAGUGGUUGCGUAAGCAAGCAUCUUUCCAGGUGCCUGUCUACAUAGACAGUGAGGAAGAGCAAGAUAUCCCUUUGCUUAUCUUAAAGACGUACUGCACAGGACACCAACAAAACUGAGGUUUACAGAUGAAGUGCAGCUUAUCUGUGAUGUUCUUUUUCCAGAGGCCAUCAUACAUGCUCUGGGGGUCUUGAGGGGUUUGUCUUUAGAUGAUGCUGAGCAGGU